This 2918-nucleotide unclassified non-coding RNA is filed under the name Hevea brasiliensis (rubber tree). The record is from RNAcentral. Lineage: Eukaryota; Viridiplantae; Streptophyta; Magnoliopsida; Malpighiales; Euphorbiaceae.
UAACCAAGUACAAAUAAAGUAAAUUAAAAACAAAAUAACCAUAAAGAAGUAGAACUACUUUCAUUGCCGUCAACUGUAUUUUUGUCCUUUCCCUUCGGUUAUACAGCAAUUCAAAAAUUCUUGAGAACAUAAGAUCUGUGAAGUUGUUGAAGAAAGAGAAAAAGCCAAUUAAGCAGUCAGAAACUCCUUAUGAAUCCCCAUAUGACUGACUUAAAACACUUUGCUCUGUGUUAGUUGCUUCAUCUGAAGAAUUGAAUUGACGAGUUAGCUGCGGAAGAUAAUGUUAUGAUCCAGAAACAGGCAAUAGAGGAGCAUAACUAAUCACUCAGUCGGUAUGAUCUCCCUCUGAAAGCUACACCAGUAGUUCUUUCAGGUUGCACUCGAUUGUUUGUUGGGGCAGGAGCACCUAUUCUCCACCUUGCGACCAGUUUAUGCCUACAGCAGUUGAGGAAAUUGGAGGAACAAGAAAAUAAAAUGAAAUAUAUCAUAGUCAAGUAUCAAUCAAAGAAUUAAACUAUUGGUUAAUGAUAAUGCCCUGGGAAGAUCUCAUCAUAGCCCUAGUUUUAACCUUUGAACGAUUACUGCUGCAAAUAUGCCAAUGCCAUUAUGUGCUCAGGAAGAGAACUGCACAUUUUAGACAAGGUUAUGUUUCUCUGUGGAUGAAUGAGAAUGCUUAAUCAGAACUCAACACAUAAACUCAAAACUGAGCAGGAAAGCUUAUCAAGAGUGGGACAUGAUAGAAGAUAUCUGUAAUGAUGACUGCACAUUGAACACAUGCAAAUUUCUAUUGCAAACAGCUAAUAUACUUCUCCCAAGAGAGGAACCAAGUAAUGAAAGGAUACACCCAUCUUGGAGUAUUCAAUAAGGUCUUUCCAGUUGCAAGUGGAUGCAACACAGUCAAAAAGUAAUACAGAUGCCCUGCAAUGAUCCCCAGCAGAUCUGGCAUAAGCGGGGAACCAAAAAUGACAUCUAAAGCGAGCAUUGCCCAUGGUAGAUAAAAUGCCUGAUAACACAAGCAGGAGAGCCAAGAAGGGGGUAGAUAAGCCACAUGUUAGAUAUGAAAUUCCUAACCCAAAAUCUCUUGCAAAGCAAAUGAAAUCACCCCACAAAAAUUUGCAACUGAAUACAUCUUGAGCAUACCUUAAGAGUCAUAAGGCCAUAUAUGUUGAUCUGGGCAUUUGGGAAUUCUCUACCCCAGACAUAGACAAGCAUGAACACAAGUGAUAUCCCCAAGAAAGGGGUCCAAAAUAUAGGGAUGGCAGCUAGUACCUAAAAUCCAGAAGGGAGAAUACCACCAAUCAGAUGAAAAGAUGGUUUUCACGCAUUCAAACAACAAAAGUACAUUUAAAAACUGCAUCUUCAUAUGGGGAGGAAUUAUCUAGGCUACCGCUCACAGUGGUCCAAAAAGUUUCAAAAUGUGAAUUUGCACCAUGAAAGAAAAUCCAAAGCAGGGAAGGAGGGAAAAGGAACAGUAAGACAAGAUCAAUUCAUUCUUCAGCUUACUUGAGGUUAGGCCCACCCCAAUUUAAGUUUACAAUGCAACAAUUGAAAAAAACACUUUCAUCCGCCAGAAAAGAAUCUGAAUGAAUAAAGAACAUAACUACAUACUAGCAUCGAAAAGGCUCCAAAGAUCAUCAUCCACAAGAAAUCUGCUGUACGCCUAUCAAAAGGUCCUUUCUCAAGUUGAACACCAUAUCUUGCUAUCAUUAAAAGGCGAAUUCCAAAGUUGAUAGAAAAUUUUCCAAGGAAAAAGAAGUUUGUAAUAAGCCUCCACACCUGAAAGCGUGAGAAUACAAGUUUAUAUAUCAAUGCUAUAUGCACCACAUCAAAUACUCCAAGCUGAUAGGCUGCAGUGAAAAGCAGGCACAAAGUCCCAUAUGCCUUGCUUACAGGUGGAAGAGAGUGAUAGUAUCUGAACAAAAUGGACAGCAAAAGUUGUAACGAUCAUGAAUCAAAAAAAUAUAUGGUUUUUACACAUAUAGAACACCUAAAAAAUAGGAAUAACCAGUUUAAAGAUGCUUUAGCAUUAGUACUGUUGCUACUAUUAUCCAGCAAACAAGAAUUAAAGAUUAAAAGAACAAAAUAAGACACCAUUUAGAAAACACCUCAAUGUCGUUCACAAUUUGAAGUCACAUUACCAUAUGCAUUCAGAAUGUCAUCGGAAGGUUUCACCAUGAGUUGUUCUGCAACGACAUUUCAUUCCAUCUUUUGCUUUUUCUUUCCUUUCCCAUAAAUUAAAGGUUAUUAACGGAUACCCAUACAAAAUUAUCAUUUUCCCAAUCCAUUGUUGUACUGCUUUGCAUUUGAUUCAAUCUAAAGGAAGAUCACGAAGAAGCAAGUAACCUCAAACAUCUGAAGCCAAUUUGCGUAAUUGCUUGAAUCACUUAAGCAACUAGUUCUGAUACCGAUAAUCUUGCUUCUAUGCCAGAAGUCCAAAUUUGCCUUAUAUUGGUAAAACAAAACUGAAAAAACUUGGCUAGGAUUAAGUUCACCAGAAUCCCAAACAGUGCGAACACAAACACAAAGCAACAGAAUAAAUUGAAUCACUUUAAAAAGGAAAUAAGAAGAACGUUAAAAUUAAGAAACGAAGGAAAAUCAGCAAAUCUAAAUUCAGUAGAAAAACGAAGGAAAAGUUUAAAAGAAUAAUAUAUAUGGAAAAGGUUACUUACUCAGCAGGUGAAGACAUUGUAGACUCGGAAAGCUAAAUUGAGAUGGAGAAAAUCUCAGUGGGCAAAUGUCUCUUCAAUUUGGACUUUAAAUUUCGAAAACGAUAGUUGUGAUUUGUGAAAAUUCAAAGCCGUUUUUACUCCAAUAUUGUGAAAACUAUGAAGCGAUUGCUAAGAUCCAGAAGUUUCCUCCUCCUAAACCCAUUCCUACCUUCCUUUCGCACUUGGUCUCUCUCCACCUCUCCAACUGCU